CCGAGUUAUUCAACUCAUCAACCCUGUGAACUUACCUAAACGUUGCUUCGGCGGGAAUAGACGGCCCUGUAAAACGGGCCGCCCCCGCCAGAGGACUCUUAACUCUGUUUCUUAUAAUGUUUCUUCUGAGUAAAACAAGCAAAUAAAUUAAAACUUUCAACAACGGAUCUCUUGGCUCUGGCAUCGAUGAAGAACGCAGCGAAAUGCGAUAAGUAAUGUGAAUUGCAGAAUUCAGUGAAUCAUCGAAUCUUUGAACGCACAUUGCGCCCGCCAGUAUUCUGGCGGGCAUGCCUGUUCGAGCGUCAUUACAACCCUCAGGCCCCCGGGCCUGGCGUUGGGGAUCGGCGGAGCGCCCCUCGUGGGCGCACGCCGUCCCCCAAAUACAGUGGCGGUCCCGCCGCAGCUUCCAUCGCGUAGUAGCUAACACCUCGCGACUGGAGAGCGGCGCGGCCACGCCGUAAAACACCCCAACUCUUCUGAAGUUGACCUCGAAUCAGGUAGGAAUACCCGCUGAACUUAAGCAUAUCAAUAAGCGGAGGAAAAGAAACCAACAGGGAUUGCCCCAGUAACGGCGAGUGAAGCGGCAACAGCUCAAAUUUGAAAUCUGGCUCUCGGGCCCGAGUUGUAAUUUGUAGAGGAUGCUUUUGGUGAGGUGCCUUCCGAGUUCCCUGGAACGGGACGCCAUAGAGGGUGAGAGCCCCGUCUGGUUGGACGCCGAACCUCUGUAAAGCUCCUUCGACGAGUCGAGUAGUUUGGGAAUGCUGCUCUAAAUGGGAGGUAUAUGUCUUCUAAAGCUAAAUACCGGCCAGAGACCGAUAGCGCACAAGUAGAGUGAUCGAAAGAUGAAAAGAACUUUGAAAAGAGAGUUAAACAGUACGUGAAAUUGUUGAAAGGGAAGCGCUUGUGACCAGACUUGGGCUUGGUUGAUCAUCCGGGGUUCUCCCCGGUGCACUCUUCCGGCCCAGGCCAGCAUCAGUUCGCCCUGGGGGACAAAGGCUUCGGGAACGUGGCUCUCUCCGGGGAGUGUUAU
This 1030-nucleotide ribosomal RNA is filed under the name Fusarium cf. solani CBS 2012. RNAcentral describes it as "eukaryotic LSU rRNA". The stretch from base 484 to 1030 matches the Rfam family "Eukaryotic large subunit ribosomal RNA", at positions 1 to 559 of the family's 3401-position model. Lineage: Eukaryota; Fungi; Ascomycota; Sordariomycetes; Hypocreales; Nectriaceae. The record is from RNAcentral.